GGUUAAGUUACUAAGGGCACACGGUGGAUGCCUUGGCGCUAGGAGCCGAAGAAGGACGCAGCGAACUGCGAUAAGCCUCGGGGAGCGGUAAGCACGCUUUGAUCCGGGGAUCUCCGAAUGGGGGAACCCACCAUCUGUAAUGGGAUGGUAUCCGUAUCUGAAUCCAUAGGGUACGAGAAGGCAGACCCGGUGAACUGAAACAUCUAAGUAGCCGGAGGAAGAGAAAACAAUAGUGAUUCCGUCAGUAGCGGCGAGCGAACGCGGAAGAGCCUAAACCGUCAGGUUUACCUGGCGGGGUUGUGGGGCGUCUCACACGUAGUUACAAAAGACGCGCGUAGGUGAACAGUUUGGGAAAGCUGACCACAGAGCGUGAUAGUCGCGUAGCCUAAACGCGCGUCUCUCCGAGACCAACCCCGAGUAGUGCGGGACACGUGAAAUCCCGUAUGAAUCUGGCAGGACCAUCUGCUAAGGCUAAAUACUACCUAGCGACCGAUAGUGAACCAGUACCGUGAGGGAAAGGUGAAAAGCACCCCGGGAGGGGAGUGAAAUAGUACCUGAAACCGUGUGCUUACAAAUAGUCGGAGCCCUAUGCAGCAAACUUGUUUGCCGCACGGGUGACGGCGUGCCUUUUGUAGAAUGAACCGGCGAGUUACGGUAGCGUGCGAGGUUAAGUCGAAGAGACGGAGCCGCAGCGAAAGCGAGUCUGAAUAGGGCGCAAGUACGUUGUCGUAGACCCGAAACCGUGUGAUCUAGCCAUGUCCAGGGUGAAGGUAGGGUAACACCUACUGGAGGCCCGAACCCACGCACGUUGAAAAGUGCGGGGAUGAGGUGUGGCUAGCGGUGAAAUUCCAAUCGAACUCGGAGAUAGCUGGUUCUCCCCGAAAUAGCUUUAGGGCUAGCCUCGGAAUUAGAGUCUUGGAGGUAGAGCACUGAUUGGGCUAGGGGCCCUCAUCGGGUUACCGAACUCAGUCAAACUCCGAAUGCCAAUGACUUAUGUCCGGGAGUCAGACGGUGAGUGCUAAGAUCCAUCGUCAAAAGGGAAACAGCCCAGACCAUCAGCUAAGGUCCCCAAGUGUAUGUUAAGUGGGAAACGAUGUGGAGUUGCCCAGACAACCAGGAUGUUGGCUUAGAAGCAGCCACCAUUUAAAGAGUGCGUAAUAGCUCACUGGUCGAGUGACUCUGCGCGGAAAAUGUAACGGGGCUAAACAUACCACCGAAGCUAUGGCUUGUAGAAUCCUUACGGAUUCUACUUGGGUAGGGGAGCGUUCCAAGCAGCAGUGAAGCCGUACUGGAAAGAGCGGUGGAGCGCUUGGAAGUGAGAAUGCCGGUGUAAGUAGCGAAAAGACAAGUGAGAAUCUUGUCCACCGAAAGCCUAAGGUUUCCUGGGGAAGGCUCGUCCUCCCAGGGUUAGUCGGGACCUAAGCUGAGGCCGAAAGGCGUAGGCGAUGGACAACAGGUUGAUAUUCCUGUACCACCUCUGUUCCGCUUGAGCAAUGGCGUGACGCAGGAGGAUAGGGUGAGCGGCCUACUGGAUGGCCGUCCAAGCAGUAAGCCUGGUGUGUAGGCAAAUCCGCACACCGCUAAGGGCAAGCUGUGAUGGCGAGGGAAAUUUAAGUACCGAAGUCCCUGAUUUCACACUGCCAAGAAAAGCG
RNAcentral lists this ribosomal RNA (1652 nucleotides) under Brevibacillus sp. AY1. RNAcentral describes it as "partial 23S ribosomal RNA". It matches the Rfam family "Bacterial large subunit ribosomal RNA", at positions 1 to 1619 of the family's 2925-position model. Lineage: Bacteria; Bacillati; Bacillota; Bacilli; Caryophanales; Paenibacillaceae. The record is from RNAcentral.